This 253-nucleotide ribosomal RNA is filed under the name uncultured bacterium. Its description in RNAcentral is "partial 16S ribosomal RNA". It matches the Rfam family "Bacterial small subunit ribosomal RNA", at positions 524 to 776 of the family's 1533-position model. The record is from RNAcentral.
UACAGAGGUCUCAAGCGUUGUUCGGAUUCAUUGGGCGUAAAGGGUGCGUAGGCGGCGCGGUAAGUCGGGUGUGAAAUCUUGGAGCUUAAUUCCGAAACUGCAUUCGAUACUGCCGUGCUUGAGGACUGGAGAGGAGACUGGAAUUUACGGUGUAGCGGUGAAAUGCGUAGAUAUCGUAAGGAAGACCAGUGGCGAAGGCGGGUCUCUGGACAGUUCCUGACGCUGAGGCACGAAGGCCAGGGGAGCAAACGGG